Molecule: microRNA precursor, 197 nt
Filed under: Triticum aestivum (bread wheat)
Lineage: Eukaryota; Viridiplantae; Streptophyta; Magnoliopsida; Poales; Poaceae
Also listed under: 1 other name
Description: MIR1435 microRNA precursor family
Rfam family: MIR1435 microRNA precursor family
Source: Rfam by way of RNAcentral
AGAUUUUUGUGAAAGUCAAACAUUGCCAACUUUGACCAAGUGUAUAGAGAAAACUGUCUACAUCUACAAUACCAAACAUGUUUCUGAAAAUAUAAUCCACGAUGUAUCCAAUGAUGUGCAUUUGAUAUUCUAGAUGUACAUACUUUUCUCUAUAAACAUGGUCAAAGUUUGUAAUGUUUGACUUUUGUAAAAAUUUA